Molecule: long non-coding RNA, 1272 nt
Filed under: Macaca mulatta (Rhesus monkey)
Lineage: Eukaryota; Metazoa; Chordata; Mammalia; Primates; Cercopithecidae
Description: lncRNA (ENSMMUG00000050589.1)
Source: RNAcentral
CAUAUAUGUAACAUAUAGUCAUAUAUAACAAUAUAUAUUUUUAUAUACCCUAUUAUAACCAGUUCUUUGUGUAAACAUGCUGGGCUUCAGAAUUAGCUUAGUCACUAAGCAAAUCUUGCAUAUUAAAUACUUUUAAGUAAUGGGUGAAGGUGCUUCCCUCACUAAAUGUGGAAAACAAAUCAAGGCCAACUAAAUGGAGUAAUAACAAAAGUAAAACAAUCAAUGUGAAUUUCACAGUGCUGAUCAUACCUCAUACAGUAAAGAUAAUGAUUUUGUGCUUUAGAGUUUCUCUGUUGGCAUAACCACUGUAUUAUCAGCCUAAGGAUUCCCCAGGGAUGAGAAAACUUAAGACUGAUAUAUUAGAAUAGUUAGAAAAGAGCAACACGUUUAAACAAUGAGCCAGGUGCUAAUGUAUUCACCUAUGCAGAAAACUGGGGAGGUAGAGCUAUGGAUAGGCAAUGGGGGAGGUGAAGAGAGGGAAUCUUGGGUAAUUUCCUUCUAGAGGUGAAACAUUUCAGAAAAUUGUUCAGAUUAUAAAAUUAAAGCUGUUUAGAACCAAGCAUCAAAUUUGAGUAGCACUAUGAAAACUGACCUCGAAUGACAGAGAAAACAUUUUAUUAUCUCUAGAACACAUUUUCACAGUGACAUAAUGAAUUAUCUUUUUUAAAUGAUUUUUUGUAUUGGAUGUUUAUCACAGUCCUAACAGAAUGAAUCCAGGAACCACUGAUAUAUGCUAUCAACAAACAUUAGAUUAUGAACAUCAAAGAAUUCCAGAAACUUAAUAACACAGUUUUAGUCUAUUUUCUUUGAGGACAAUUGCUGUUUUGCAUCUCCAUCACAAGACACCAAAGAAAUAUGUACUUUGGCUCAUUGGCCCCCUGGAGCACUGAUAGUACCCUACAAGCUGACACUGGUGCAAGUAUUAAAAAAUCUUCAAUCAUAUAACUCCAAGCCAUUCAUAUUAAUGUGCCUGCGUCAAAUUACCCUUUCUAUUCUUCAGGAAGAAGAAAGACCAUAAAAUGCUCUCUGAAUCCAUAAGGACAACACCAUUGGCACAGACAGGAAUUUUGCUCUGAAGUGACAGCACUCCUCUUCUGAAACACGACCUAAUGACUAUAAAGGGUUUCUUUGGAAACACCAUAUUUUGUCAUUAAACUGUCUUUACCACAUCACAUGCUCCCAAACCAUUCUAUACCAAUGUUCCCAGAGAGUUAAAGAUGGCUCUGAAGAAAAACUGUCAUCUUUAAUAAAGAAAUGCAAUAGAUGUUUCUC